AGAAUCAACGCUGGCGGCGUGCCUAACACAUGCAAGUCGAACGAGAAAGUGGAGCAAUCCAUGAGUAAAGUGGCGCACGGGUGAGUAACACGUGACUAACCUACCUUUUAGUGGGGGAUAACCUAGGGAAACCUGGGCUAAUACCGCAUAAUACUUACGAGUCAAAGCAGCAAUGCGCUGAAAGAGGGGUCGCGGCCGAUUAGCUAGUUGGCGGGGUAAUGGCCCACCAAGGCAGUGAUCGGUA
Molecule: ribosomal RNA, 244 nt
Filed under: uncultured bacterium
Lineage: Bacteria
Description: partial small subunit ribosomal RNA
Rfam family: Bacterial small subunit ribosomal RNA
Source: RNAcentral